RNAcentral lists this ribosomal RNA (497 nucleotides) under uncultured bacterium. RNAcentral's name for it is "partial 16S ribosomal RNA". It matches the Rfam family "Bacterial small subunit ribosomal RNA", at positions 28 to 507 of the family's 1533-position model. The record is from RNAcentral.
GACGAACGCUGGCGGCGUGCCUAAUACAUGCAAGUUGAGCGCUGAAGGUUGGUACUUGUACCAACUGGAUGAGCAGCGAACGGGUGAGUAACGCGUGGGGAAUCUGCCUUUGAGCGGGGGACAACAUUUGGAAACGAAUGCUAAUACCGCAUAAAAACUUUAAACACAAGUUUUAAGUUUGAAAGAUGCAAUUGCAUCACUCAAAGAUGAUCCCGCGUUGUAUUAGCUAGUUGGUGAGGUAAAGGCUCACCAAGGCGAUGAUACAUAGCCGACCUGAGAGGGUGAUCGGCCACAUUGGGACUGAGACACGGCCCAAACUCCUACGGGAGGCAGCAGUAGGGAAUCUUCGGCAAAGGACGAAAGUCUGACCGAGCAACGCCGCGUGAGUGAAGAAGGUUUUCGGAUCGUAAAACUCUGUUGGUAGAGAAGAACGUUGUUGAGAGUGGAAAGCUCAUCAAGUGACGGUAACUACCCAGAAAGGGACGGCUAACUACGUG